RNAcentral lists this ribosomal RNA (253 nucleotides) under uncultured bacterium. RNAcentral describes it as "partial 16S ribosomal RNA". It matches the Rfam family "Bacterial small subunit ribosomal RNA", at positions 524 to 776 of the family's 1533-position model. The record is from RNAcentral.
UACGGGGGGGGCAAGCGUUGUUCGGAAUUACUGGGCGUAAAGGGCUCGUAGGUGGCCAACUAAGUCAGACGUGAAAUCCCUCGGCUUAACCGGGGAACUGCGUCUGAUACUGGAUGGCUUGAGUUCGGGAGAGGGAUGCGGAAUUCCAGGUGUAGCGGUGAAAUGCGUAGAUAUCUGGAGGAACACCGGUGGCGAAGGCGGGUCUCUGGGCCGAAACUGACGCUGAGGAGCGAAAGCGUGGGGAGCGAACAGG